Molecule: ribosomal RNA, 450 nt
Filed under: Magnusiomyces capitatus
Lineage: Eukaryota; Fungi; Ascomycota; Dipodascomycetes; Dipodascales; Dipodascaceae
Description: eukaryotic LSU rRNA
Rfam family: Eukaryotic large subunit ribosomal RNA
Source: RNAcentral
GCAUAUCAAUAAGCGGAGGAAAAGAAACCAACAGGGAUUGCCUUAGUAACGGCGAGUGAAGCGGCAAAAGCUCAAUUUGAAAACGCUUCGGCGUGUUGUAAGUAAAGUGGUUAGACGCUUUUUAAUAAGUCCCUUGGAACAGGGCGCCAUAGAGGGUGAUAGCCCCGUAUUAAAUUGUCUAGUGUGCUACUUUAGAGCGAGUCGAGUUGUUUGGGAAUGCAGCUCAAAUAGGUGGUAAACUCCAUCUAAAGCUAAAUAUUGCUGGGAGACCGAUAGCGAACAAGUACAGUGAUGGAAAGAUGAAAAGCACUUUGAAAAGAGAGUGAAAUAGCGUGUGAAAUUGUUGGAGGGGAAGGCGAUGGUAGGAAUAAGAGGCUGCGGUUUGAAAUAAUUGUUUUUCGGGCCACGGUCUCCUGAGCCUGCUUUCGCACCCGUCUUGAAACACGGACC